UCAAGAGGAAAAUACACCAUGAAAAGCUCUGAAAGCCCUGAGGUCAAGGAUCUGAAGUUACCCACAAUAUUAAUGACAAACCAGUGGCUGUGCCAUGGCAACGGACAGAAGAAUAUGUGGCGUGGAAACCGGUGUACCUGUGCAGAUGGGAACAGGCAGAACCAAGUCUUGCUUCUCUCUUUCUGAGCUGGCCAGACACAAGCUGGUUCUGGUCCAGAUGCCGUGGAGGUGCAUUAGCAGAGUGUGGAGCCAGACCUAAUACUCCCUGCCCUGUGGCACAGUUUGAUGCUCUGGACAAGAAGCUUCAGACUUGAAACAACCAGAGCGUAAGGUCCCGCAGUGCCUCUGUUCAUAGCCUGCUUGCUUUGCAAAGUGCUCAUUCCUCCUGCGGACUGCUCGGAAUUUAUUUUUUUUUUUUCUGAUAGCUCAUUUACUGGGAGUGUAACCUGACCUUUAAGGGGUUCAUGUUCAAUUGCCCCUGUGCCACUUUCUGGUCACAGAGCAAAGAUCUCCAACAGCUGAGAAGGCAGUACAGCUGAUGAGGAUGUUUCCAGCUAAACCCCUUAGCAGAAGGAAAAAGAAACACUGGAGUUUCUCAGAAAGCCACAGGCAAACGAGUGAUCUCUUAAGGAGUAUCCAUUUGCACCUCUCCGCCAACUUGCCUCUAGGUCAUAACACCCUUUAUAAGAAGUUUUAUACUGUUGCCACAAUUGUGGUUUGGGGAUCUACCAAUAAUGGAGUCUUUAGGGUAAAAUAAAUAUGAUUAUACCUGUCAACCCCAGUGACUAUCUUCAUAUGUAGCUUGCAAGCUUAUCACAUAAAUAAUUGACGCCAUGGUUCAUAUUGUGCCAUUGAUUAGCUAGCUGCUGACUGAAACAUCCACCC
Non-coding RNA from Anas platyrhynchos (mallard), 885 nucleotides. The record is from RefSeq and is a predicted model, not a curated record. Lineage: Eukaryota; Metazoa; Chordata; Aves; Anseriformes; Anatidae.